Long non-coding RNA from Oreochromis niloticus (Nile tilapia), 2500 nucleotides. RefSeq lists it as uncharacterized. The transcript is spliced from 2 exons. The record is from RefSeq and is a predicted model, not a curated record. NCBI's taxonomy places the organism in Eukaryota, Metazoa, Chordata, Actinopteri, Cichliformes, Cichlidae.
UUCAAAAGUACCGGUUUGGCACCGGUAUCGGAUAAAACCUCAACGAUACCCAUCCCUACUCCUAACAUGCCUCCUUCCCCCUCUUCCUUUUCUUUCAGCCAUCAGUAGCAUGACAGUCUUAUUCAUUAUGAUCCACGCAUUUUAUUUGGUAAAGCUUUAGUUCAGAAUGCCCUUACUACUGCAACACUCCCCAUUUACCCAGGCUGGCACUUGGAGUACACUGGCUUGUGGCCCCUUGUGCCAGCAUUAGUGCUUUCCUCCUUUCUGCUGCUCACAAUUUACCGAUCACACUUUGACUAUUACCAUUAAAACAAGAGUCAGAAAAUUUAGCAACAGAGCUACGAUACUUUAAAUGUUAAAGUUUCAUGAUUCACGUGUGGAUGUUGCAUAAGAAAAGCAUGAUGUAUAAAGUAUAAGUGUUUCUGACCAGUUGUUCAUGUUCCUUCAUUUUUCCCUGAAAUCUAUCAAAUACUGUCCAACAGACUGAUGGCACAGCAGUGCAGAGGCUGCAGAACCUGCGUCUGAAGCCUCUGGUUUAAAAUACAGCAACAUGGGGUUAGUAUCUUGCCCAAGGACAUCAUGCAGACUGGCAUUAAACCACCAACCUUCUGGUUAGCAGGUGACCUGCUCGACCACCUGAGUUACAGCCGCCUCAUCAAAGUGACCAAUCACAUUAGAAUCCUGUCCUGCUUUGGGCUCCGCCUCCAAACCAUCCAAAGCGGGUUUAUUUGCACCAUGUAUGCAGGUAAACUCAAACAUCCAUUCAGCUGCUUCAGAAGGAAAAUGUCAGCUUGUGGUUUCAAUCACAGGAAACUCACAGGUUAGAGUCCAGCCAGAGGGCUGCUGUUGUUUAUCUGUAAAGUCUUUACAUUUACAGAAAGAAAUAAUUAUGUGGACACAUCUGGAUCAUCAGCAAACAUGAAACCAGGCGACCACCAGGACCAAGCUGACUGCUGACACAGAGUUCAUACUCUAACUGCUAGCUGCUCUGCUAGCUAAGUGAACUGAUGUUAAAGUGACAGCAGACUGAGUCAAAGACAGAAACCUUAUUUAAACAGCAAAUAUUCACCGGCUUCACUUCCUGAUCCAGGAUUCAAAGAGGACGUUGCACUUACUCAGCUUCUUCCCAUGAACGUCUUCACUCUGCAGCUCUGCUGUCUGGACCAGGUCUGUGUAGAAACAGAGACAAUCGUCUGCUUCAUCAGUCCUCUGUGUCUGCAGGCUGAAGUCACAUUAAACACUUCACACCAGCAAAGAGUCUGAAGCUCACAGGUCAAAGGUCAGCUGCUGCACCUUGUGUGAUAUUGUUUGAUCAAUAAUUAACCUGCAGCAGGUUUCUGCUCCAACUCCAACACACUGAACAACCCUGAGAACAAAUCAGAUGAUGUGGGUGUGUCUGCAAGCUUCAAUAGUAUUAAACACCUCACACCAGCAAAGAGUCUGAAGCUCGCAGGUCAAAGGUCAAAGGUCAGCUGCCACACUGUAUUUAACAUUGUAAUAUGUAUACAACCUGACUGUGGGCGUGUGUGCAGCCAUAAACAGUUUAAACAUUAAACACUGAACCAUAAAAGAAGCUUAAGCUGCAGCUCACAGGUCAAAGGUCAGCUGCUGGAGCCAGUUAUGACUUUACAUAAAUCAUCAUGUUUUCCCUCUCAGCACUUGGGCUGUUUUGACUCAGCUACACUAUGGGAAAUGGCCAAUGGUUCCACAGCUGUUCUUGUUCACAGCAUCAUCCAGUUAGAGAGGAAACUGUAUAAUGCAAUGAUGAUGUUCCAGCGUCAUGCUGCAGUUGUUGCUCCUCCUCCACAUGCUUACCUGCCACAGUUUAACUCCGCCUCUUAGACAGUCAUGUCACCUGAUCUGAAUGUUUUGUUGUACGAUGACAUCAUCUUGCCGUUGACGAGGAGGGCAAGAAAAACUAGUUUUGUCCUGCAGAUGGCGAUCUUGCACCGUGUUCAGAGAGCCGACACUUUGAUGAUGCUGGUCUACUCAGCUUACUUUUAGCCUGGGUUGGACUCUGUAUGAGCAGCUUCCACUCUGGUUUUCAUUGUUAAAUACACUUGUUUGAUUUCACGUGUAAAAGUUGGAAAAUAAAUAUUAAAUUAUUUGUUGGUACAUUUUUUCGCUUCAUUUGAGGAAUGAACUGUUAAGGUGGAGAAAUGAAUCAGGUUAAAAUAGUCGUCCUUUAAAUCAGUGCAGAUGUAUAAUGUAAUGUAAAAUGUUGAUAAUGGUUGUAGUGGGCUUGUAGUGUAAAUGUGGUCUGAUUAAAUGUGACAUUAAUGGUGACGCUGCAUAAACCUAAUAAAACAGUUCUAUUAGUGGGUCUGUGUGAUCAGCAUCAGUGGGUUAAGGUGAGGCCUUGACUAGUAGAACGUCAUGUUGGUGUAUGACAACACAUGAGCCAACAUCAGACUCCGAGCGCUACGAUGCUAAAGAUCAGAAGAUCCAGUGUGACAUCAUCGUUACCUGGCAACAGCAGCCCUCAUCUGACUUUAUUGGA